GAGUGUAUAGCUCAGUUGGUUAGAGCAGUAGAUUGUGGAUCUACAGGUCGCGGGUUCGAGACCCGUUACACUCC
This 74-nucleotide transfer RNA is filed under the name Candidatus Peribacteria bacterium. RNAcentral describes it as "tRNA-His". It matches the Rfam family "tRNA". From Rfam's summary of the family: Transfer RNA (tRNA) molecules are approximately 80 nucleotides in length. Their secondary structure includes four short double-helical elements and three loops (D, anti-codon, and T loops). Further hydrogen bonds mediate the characteristic L-shaped molecular structure. tRNAs have two regions of fundamental functional importance: the anti-codon, which is responsible for specific mRNA codon recognition, and the 3' end, to which the tRNAs corresponding amino acid is attached (by aminoacyl-tRNA synthetases). tRNAs cope with the degeneracy of the genetic code in two manners: having more than one tRNA (with a specific anti-codon) for a particular amino acid; and 'wobble' base-pairing, i.e. permitting non-standard base-pairing at the 3rd anti-codon position. The record is from RNAcentral. Lineage: Bacteria; Candidatus Peregrinibacteriota; Candidatus Peribacteria.